This 253-nucleotide ribosomal RNA is filed under the name uncultured bacterium. Its description in RNAcentral is "partial 16S ribosomal RNA". It matches the Rfam family "Bacterial small subunit ribosomal RNA", at positions 524 to 776 of the family's 1533-position model. The record is from RNAcentral.
UACGUAGGGUGCAAGCGUUGUCCGGAAUUAUUGGGCGUAAAGAGCUCGUAGGCGGUCUGUCGCGUCGGCUGUGAAAACUCGGGGCUCAACCCCGAGCCUGCAGUCGAUACGGGCAGACUAGAGUGCUGUAGGGGAGACUGGAAUUCCUGGUGUAGCGGUGAAAUCCGCAGAUAUCAGGAGGAACACCGGUGGCGAAGGCGGGUCUCUGGGCAGUAACUGACGCUGAGGAGCGAAAGCGUGGGGAGCGAACAGG